CCUACGGGAGGCAGCAGUAGGGAAUCUUCCACAAUGGGCGAAAGCCUGAUGGAGCAACGCCGCGUGGGUGAAGAAGGUCUUCGGAUCGUAAAACCCUGUUUUUAGAGAAGAAAGUGCGUGAGAGUAACUGUUCACGUUUCGACGUUAUCGAACCACAACGCCACGGCUAACUCCGUGCCAGCAGCUGCGGUAAUACGUAGGUGGCAAGCGUUAUCCGGAUUUAUUGGGCGUAAAGGGAACGCAGGCGGUCUUUUAAGUCUGAUGUGAAAGCCUUCGGCUUAACCGGAGUAGUGCAUUGGAAACUGGGAGACUUGAGUGCAGAAGAGGAGAGUGGAAAUCGAUGUGUAGCGGUGAAAUGCGUAGAUAUCUGGAAGAACACCAGUGGCGAAGGCGGCUCUCUGGUCUGUCACUGACGCUGAGGUUCGAAAGCGUGGGUAGCAAACAGGAUUAGAUACCCUUGUAGUC
RNAcentral lists this ribosomal RNA (465 nucleotides) under uncultured bacterium. RNAcentral's name for it is "partial 16S ribosomal RNA". It matches the Rfam family "Bacterial small subunit ribosomal RNA", at positions 338 to 795 of the family's 1533-position model. The record is from RNAcentral.